Molecule: long non-coding RNA, 4325 nt
Organism: Enhydra lutris kenyoni (northern sea otter)
Lineage: Eukaryota; Metazoa; Chordata; Mammalia; Carnivora; Mustelidae
Exons: 3
Source: RefSeq, a predicted model, not a curated record
GACCAACUUCCUCACCUCUAGCCUCCUAACACCACACAGAUGGGCCGUAUAUGAGCACAUUUGCCAGGGCUGUCAAAAUGUAAACACACUCAGCUGGUAGCAGAUGUUUUCCAAGAAAGAUCACUACACUGGAGUUGUUCUGCUGUGGAUUCCAUUCUCUCUGGCCCUGGGUCAACCACAGUGUGAAAGCAGAUCAUCAGGAGGUCAAUGGUGGCCUCAUGCUACGUCACAGUAACUACGUUGUUCACCUCACUUCACCUUAUCACGCAUAGUCUCACGUCAUCACAAGAAGGGAAAGAACCGACCCGGGAGCUACAAGCAGUACCUGCAGCAGCAGGGAGCCACACCCUCUUCUCCCCAGGUGAGAUUUACAAGCCUCUCCUUGUAAAUCCUCCAGAAUCUCUCAACCCAGCUCUGCACUCAGAGCCACAUCAGUGAAGCCUUUAGAAUCCUUUCUGUCAAGGGGAGCUGUUGAACCACACAACUUGAAUUUGUGUGAAAUACCCCAAUAGGAGCACACCGGGGAAGACUCUGCCUGACCAAACAAAGGCAUUUCUACCCCACUUAGCAGCCAGAGUCUGCUCUAGGUUAAUCGCUCUGCUUACUGCAGGAGGAUCAUUUCCCAGAGCCUCUAAGAGCCGUAGCUUCUCCCCAAAGUGUAAAGCAUUGGGCACAUUUCCCUAGGUCUAGACAGAGCUCCGAAAUGCCAUCUUGAAGUUGCUUCAACAACCGUCCCCACCACCCCACCUUUUUUUAAGCUCAUUGACUGGCAUCUCUCCUAGCUUAAGCUUGCAUACAAGUAGAAAAUUCUGAUUUCUUGUUUCAUGCGUGGGUAGCUGUUUAUUGUUAUCAUUUGCUGGUCCGCUAAGCUCUUCGAUGACUUUAGAAGGCAAGUUAAGCACCGCCAGUUCACAGCUGAGUACCUCGGCUGGCACGGAGCCGCGCCGGAUGCAAGCUUAUUUGGAAGUCUGGUGUUUGUUCAUGCUCUUACUUCUGCUUCAAAAAACAGCAAUUAAUCAAGACAUCUGACAAGUCCUCCGGGAUUGCUUUAUGACAUCUAGCUGCCCAGAACCACCUGUGCCCCCGCCACCCCAAAGGGAGCACCGUUCACUAAUAUUGCGGGAGAUGGGUCAUGAUGAAGAUCCUUGUGGUGACGCCACUCGUAACUGUUGUUUCUUCCUAAACAUUCAUACGCUGUGCCUGAUUUUUUUGUGACAAAUAGCCACCCGUUAACUAGAUAUUUAAGGUGAAGUCCUUGACCAUUAGGAAGAGUAACAAUGAUAAUAAUUAAUAAGUGCUGUUUAUUCAUUUUUCUUCUUUAAUCUUUAUAGUAACUGUGACAGGUACAACUACUCUAGUUUUAUUAAUGAGAAAGUGAAGCACAGGGAGUUAAAAUACAGCUGCGAAGAGUAUAAUGUUAUGGGUAGAAUUUUUUCCUUGCUAUUAUUUCUACCUUUAUCUCCCAUACAAAGCAAUGUGUUCAUCAUUAUAGGAUGUGAUUUGAGAAAAAGAAACUUCCAGUCUCUGGCUCUACCCGCAAACUGCAGUUUAGUAUUGUUAGCAUGUGAGGAAAAACAUCAUGUUAGAAACUGCACCUUUGAAGGAGAGACACCAAAUGAGGGAAGAGGAGGAUACCUUGCCCUCCAGAAGAGAGAAAAUUCCUGCUGGGUUAGAUGUCUUUGUAUGUGUGGUGGUACCAGAAAUAAAGAAAAAAAAAAUGAUGAAAGAGGUCCUGAAGGGAGCAUCUUGCUUUCUGUGAGCAGCCUCAGGAAAUGUUAAUCAUUAACAAUCUGUGCUCUACUUGGAACCCUGGAUAGCCUACGGGAGAUUCCCACAUGAUGGGUGCCAGGGAAAGAUGACUCUGGAAGUUAAGUGUGAAUGGGUAGAUGAAUGGGUUUUUGUGACCAAGAUGAAUAUUCGAUGCUCAUUAUGUAGAGAACUAGUGAUGAUGAUCUGGAGGGAAAGUCAAUUUUAACCUGGCAAAAUUGAGUUUGUGGUGACAGCAGGGCAUGGAGCAUGAGACAUCUGAAAAACAAAUCAGAAACAGUACAAAGAAGGAGGGGAGAUCUGAAGUAGGGGCCUGACUUAAGAGUUGAGCGUCAAGAUGUGAUAUUCCAAAGGCAUUUAAUAUAAGCAGCUGUUAUGUUCCCCACUCGUUUUUAUAUUCCCAAUUCCUUAAACAAUCCUUAGUAUAUUACUUAUUGGACUCACUGGACCAAUGUAUAAAAAGAAUAGAUAAAGAGGGAAAGAAACCAGAUAAAAGGGGAGGAAAAACCAAGAGCAUAACCUGCCAAAAAAUGGAAAGGAUUGAAAUCUCCUUGAAUAUCAGGAUAAUCUUUAAAUUGAAGGUAUAGAUUAUUCUAGAGGUUUUAAACCUGGCUCUAUAUUCAUACCACUUGGUGAGAUUUAAAAGGAUAAUAAAAGAAUGGCUGGUCAGACCACUUAAAUUCAAAUCUCUUGCAGCGGGGUACAGAUAGCAGGAUUUUUAAAAUGCUGCUCCCCUUCUGAUUUUAAGGCUCAGCCAUAAUCAAGAAUCACUGGAUUCGAUGAUCUGCAUGCUCUCUUAAAUCACGAAUUCUAACUUACUGAAAAAUUUUAAGUGCUUGCUAUAUUAAAAAAUAGCUAUUUUUGCUUUGAUUUUCCCAAACCUUCUCAGUCUACUGCUUGCUUCAAAGCAUCAUUAUCCUUCCAGAACCCAAAGUCAUUUCUGACCUUUGUUUCUCCCCCAUCCCCUGCAUCCCACCAGAUCACAUCCCACUGAUGCUUUCCCUCAAUUUAUUCUUCCCUUUACAUUUUCUAUGCCACGGCUGUGGUUUGCCUCUACACUCUUGCUAUGGUGUUACUUUAUUAUAUGAUCUCUUUAACUUGAAUUUCUUGUCUCUGCCAUCUAUUACUUUCUUUGCCACCAAACUUACCUUCUGGAACACCCGUCAGACUGUGACACCCUCUGGCCAAGAAACCUUUAUGGAUUUCUAUUGCUUAGAAGGUAGAGUCCAAACUCUUUAGGCUUGCAUCCAAAGUUCUACAUGAACUAACCUCAACCUCCCUUUCCAGUCUCUACCCUCAUUUAUUCUCGCUCUCUCCCCAUGUUCUAACCUCCAGAAUCAUCUGUGCUCAGGCUUCCCCAUACCCAUUAACUAAUUUUGUUAUGUCUUUGUGUUUCCUUCACCUACCCAAAUCUGAAUUUUUCAGAAAGCAUUAGCGCAAAACCCGUUUCAGGAAUCCUUUUCCUUCCUGAGUCAGAAUUAAUUCUUCGUUUUGCUCUUCUCUCCUGUCACGUAGUAUCUAUAUUCCAGCACUUAAUACAUUAUGUCUUACUUUAUGGUUAAUUGCUUUCAACUUCUCUCUCCCACACUACAUUGUGAUCCCUCCGAGCCCAACUGUCAAGGUUUAGCAUCUUCAUACCCCACAUUUUAUCUAGCACCGUGCUUUAUAAAGAGUAAGUACUUAAUAUAGGCUUAUUGCUCUGGCUUGAACUGAGUUGACUAGAACUAUGCUAAAAGUAUUUUUACAUAAAAGUUUAAAAAAUUAAAUAAAUAUGUCCUGGGAACCUAGUAAACACUUUCCCACAAGAGGCAUGCGAUGAACUUUAAUAUAACUAAGAUGAUUCAGUUUCUAUUUUAAGUAUUUAUUAUUGUUUUAAUGGUUUUGAGAAGGUCUAAUAAACAAUUCCAUCAGUUUUUUUUUUUUUUUAACUUGACCCUAUUUAUCUGUCAAACCAGAAGCAAUUAAAAAAUAAUCCUGAGAGAAAGGGUAGUCCAUCUAACAAAAUUGCCUUUGUUCUUCUGGGAUUUAAGGUAAAUUGUGUUUGUGAAGUAAUCUGUUUGGAUUUAUCCCAUCUCUUUGUUAGCUAAUGGAUUUCUCUUUGUAUUUAAUAAUUAAGGUAGGGACUAUUUCUGAAUAACUGUGGGCUUAAUUUUUUUUUUAAAUGACAGCUCUUAAAGUCUUUCUUUUUUUUUCCCCCUUUUUAUAAAAUGAAAGUCAAAAUUGUUCUCAUUGUGUUGCUUAGGUUGUUCCAUGCAUUAAGAAAACAUUCUACCCGAAAAAAAAUAGUAAAUGACUUUCCUAGACACAUGCCUUCUGCUUAACUAAUGACCCAUUUAGAGGAACCCUGAUCAGUUAUUGCUUCCCUAGGCAUAUAUGUGAUAUAAUGCAUGGAUGGAAGCUAUAGUUACAGAAUUCAUUUUUUAUUUUUCCAAUGAUUUACAGGAAACUACUUUUCUAUCUUGUCUGCAAAAAUACCUUAUUGAUGAAGUUCUCUACAGCCAAAUUAUAAUCUAUAUUAAGGGAAAAAAAUCAAAUAAAGUCUGUUAUUUUUCUCUGUG